GACGAACCGUGCGAACGUUGUUCGGAAUCACUGGGCUUAAGGGGCGCGUAGGCGGACUGCCAAGUCCGGGGUGAAAUCCUCCGGCUUAACCGGAGAAUUGCCUGGGAUACUGGCGGUCUUGAGGGAGGUAGGGGCACGCGGAACUUCCGGUGGAGCGGUGAAAUGCGUUGAUAUCGGAAGGAACGCCGGUGGCGAAAGCGGCGUGCUGGCCCUCUUCUGACGCUGAGGCGCGAAAGCCAGG
Molecule: ribosomal RNA, 241 nt
Filed under: uncultured bacterium
Lineage: Bacteria
Description: partial 16S ribosomal RNA
Rfam family: Bacterial small subunit ribosomal RNA
Source: RNAcentral